CGGGUGUAGCUCAGUUGGUAGAGCAUCAGCUUCCCAAGCUGAGGGUCGCGAGUUCGAGCCUCGUCACCC
Molecule: transfer RNA, 69 nt
Filed under: Pyramidobacter piscolens
Lineage: Bacteria; Thermotogati; Synergistota; Synergistia; Synergistales; Dethiosulfovibrionaceae
Rfam family: tRNA
About the family: Transfer RNA (tRNA) molecules are approximately 80 nucleotides in length. Their secondary structure includes four short double-helical elements and three loops (D, anti-codon, and T loops). Further hydrogen bonds mediate the characteristic L-shaped molecular structure. tRNAs have two regions of fundamental functional importance: the anti-codon, which is responsible for specific mRNA codon recognition, and the 3' end, to which the tRNAs corresponding amino acid is attached (by aminoacyl-tRNA synthetases). tRNAs cope with the degeneracy of the genetic code in two manners: having more than one tRNA (with a specific anti-codon) for a particular amino acid; and 'wobble' base-pairing, i.e. permitting non-standard base-pairing at the 3rd anti-codon position.
Source: RNAcentral